RNAcentral lists this ribosomal RNA (492 nucleotides) under uncultured bacterium. RNAcentral's name for it is "partial 16S ribosomal RNA". It matches the Rfam family "Bacterial small subunit ribosomal RNA", at positions 29 to 507 of the family's 1533-position model. The record is from RNAcentral.
AUUGAACGCUGGCGGCAUGCUUUACACAUGCAAGUCGAACGGUAACAGGCCUUCGGGUGCUGACGAGUGGCGAACGGGUGAGUAAUGCAUCGGAACGUACCCAGAGGUGGGGGAUAACGCAGCGAAAGCUGUGCUAAUACCGCAUGUGAUCUGAGGAUGAAAGCGGGGGACCGAGCAGCAAUGUUUGGCCUCGCGCCUUUGGAGCGGCCGAUGUCGGAUUAGCUAGUUGGUGGGGUAAAGGCCUACCAAGGCGACGAUCCGUAGCUGGUCUGAGAGGACGACCAGCCACACUGGGACUGAGACACGGCCCAGACUCCUACGGGAGGCAGCAGUGGGGAAUUUUGGACAAUGGGCGCAAGCCUGAUCCAGCAAUGCCGCGUGCGGGAAGAAGGCCUUCGGGUUGUAAACCGCUUUUGGCAGGAACGAAACGGUGUCCGCUAAUACCGGGCGCUAAUGACGGUACCUGCAGGAUAAGCACCGGCUAACUACGUG